AAACGAGUUCACAAGAACACACUAGGGAAAAAACGCGGAUUUCAUAAACCGCCCAUAUGCCCGAGACCGACGUAUGACAAAGCUCUGAUUGGCUGGUUAUUUAGAACCUUAUGUUACUUCACUUCAGUCAAAUAUUUUUGCCUGACAGAAUAUUCAGGUUUUGUUUUCCCCGAUCCAAAAUUAUAUUUCGAUAGGCUUAACGUUACUUCCGAAAUACAUUAUGAAAAUAACAAAUGAAAAAACGUUGUCAUUUGUCCAACCAAAUUAAAGUAGUUGAGCAGCAGACAAAACUGACAGAUUUCGAAAGCAACCGGAUCUUCCAUGACAACAAUGAUUGGCCAGACCUGUGGACAGUAAAUCUGUGAGCAAAAAGGUCUGUCUACAAAAGAAGGUGGAAGUAGAAGGAGGAGGGAGAGACAGCUGUAAGGCAAAAGGAGUGAGAGCAGAAGAAAGAGGAGGGAGAUGGAGAGUCAAGGACUGGUUAAGGAUUGAACCUGAAACUACUCGGUCUGCCAUGUUACAGCUACAUCAGUCUGACUCCACCUCCUGCUGAUGUGAAGAACACACACACACAUCAACACAAUUCACACACACACACACACCAGCAUUCCCCAUCUGGUCCCUGAGGAAGACUGAGUUACCACGCUUGAUAAGAACACUUUUGAGGUCCCACUGCUCCAUCUCAAUUGGAACUGGCAGAAUCAACCACUAAUCGGAUUAGUUAAAAUUGUUGGCAUUUUCUUUCUCUCAUUACUUUUGUUUGUCUUCCCUCCUUUUCUUUCCUCAACCAUGAUAUCACGUGUCUCUUUUUCUUGUUAUCACAGGCAGAUAUAUUUUCUCUCUUAAGUUUUUCUAACUGGAGAAUGAGAGGAAAACAGCAAGACAGCAUUUUUAAAUCUCUUUGCCCUUUGGAUGGUGUUUUGAAGCAGUAGACAGAGAACUCACACUUCAUCUAUCAUCUAGGUUUUUCUUUUUCUCAUCAAAUGUAACAAAGUGAUUGAAGAGGUUCAACAAGAUUCUAGGCCCCCACAUCAAUUAUGUGAAAACAAAUGAAAUACCAAACAAAAUUCCUAAUUUUAUAUUAAUUAUGCAACAGUGCCAAGCACAUAUUAGUAAUACUAUCAAAUAUAUUAUAUGAUACUGUAUGUUCUGUGUCACAUUCUUGAGUAAUGGAGCACUCUUGUUCCACACAAAAUUGAAAAUAUUUACAGCAGACUAAGACCUGGGUCCAAAGAGCAUGUGUAAAUCUCAUUAGCUAUAUAUCCAAGUGUUCGAGAACGGCAAUUACUAAAUUAUGAAUGUGAAAUUAAUAAGAAAAAGGGCUGAGUGUCUGAAAGAGAGAUUCAUCUUGUCCUAGUUAUGCCAAAGGCAAGAGGUAUAUUUCAUGAACCCCCAUUUCUCACUUAGCUUUAUAGGCACACACACACGCACACACACAUACACACAUAAAUAAAAAAUAGAAUGCUUAGCCAAGAGCCAACAUUUACUCUGUAACUGUAUGGAGCAUGACAAAAACACAAAUAAAAUAAUCUAAAAUUAUUGAUUUACAGUAUGUAUACAGAUGAAUGAUCAUGGAACUGUGUAAGUGUGUUUGUGAUUGUUUGUGUGUGUGUGUCUGGGUGUAUUUGCAAACUUGAGUAGCUAUGUGUGAAGGCUAGCUA
Esox lucius (northern pike) is the source of this 1661-nucleotide long non-coding RNA. The record is from Ensembl. NCBI's taxonomy places the organism in Eukaryota, Metazoa, Chordata, Actinopteri, Esociformes, Esocidae.